RNAcentral lists this ribosomal RNA (757 nucleotides) under Microbacteriaceae bacterium. RNAcentral describes it as "bacterial SSU rRNA". It matches the Rfam family "Bacterial small subunit ribosomal RNA", at positions 53 to 822 of the family's 1533-position model. The record is from RNAcentral. Lineage: Bacteria; Bacillati; Actinomycetota; Actinomycetes; Micrococcales; Microbacteriaceae.
ACAUGCAAGUCGAACGGUGAAGCAGAGCUUGCUCUGUGGAUCAGUGGCGAACGGGUGAGUAACACGUGAGUAACCUGCCCUUGACUCUGGGAUAAGCGUUGGAAACGACGUCUAAUACCGGAUACGAACCUCAACCGCAUGGUUAGGGGUUGGAAAGAUUUUUUGGUCAAGGAUGGACUCGCGGCCUAUCAGCUUGUUGGUGAGGUAAUGGCUCACCAAGGCGACGACGGGUAGCCGGCCUGAGAGGGUGACCGGCCACACUGGGACUGAGACACGGCCCAGACUCCUACGGGAGGCAGCAGUGGGGAAUAUUGCACAAUGGGCGCAAGCCUGAUGCAGCAACGCCGCGUGAGGGAUGACGGCCUUCGGGUUGUAAACCUCUUUUAGUAGGGAAGAAGCGAAAGUGACGGUACCUGCAGAAAAAGCACCGGCUAACUACGUGCCAGCAGCCGCGGUAAUACGUAGGGUGCAAGCGUUGUCCGGAAUUAUUGGGCGUAAAGAGCUCGUAGGCGGUUUGUCGCGUCUGCUGUGAAAACUGGAGGCUCAACCUCCAGCCUGCAGUGGGUACGGGCAGACUAGAGUGCGGUAGGGGAGAUUGGAAUUCCUGGUGUAGCGGUGGAAUGCGCAGAUAUCAGGAGGAACACCGAUGGCGAAGGCAGAUCUCUGGGCCGUAACUGACGCUGAGGAGCGAAAGCGUGGGGAGCGAACAGGAUUAGAUACCCUGGUAGUCCACGCCGUAAACGUUGGGAACUAGAUG